CCUACGGGCGGCAGCAGUGGGGAAUAUUGGACAAUGGGCGAAAGCCUGAUCCAGCCAUGCCGCGUGUGUGAAGAAUGCCUUCGGGUUGUAAAGCACUUUCAGUGGGGAAGAAAGCCUUGGGGCUAAUACCCUCGAGGAAGGACAUCACCCACAGAAGAAGCACCGGCUAACUCCGUGCCAGCAGCCGCGGUAAUACGGAGGGUGCGAGCGUUAAUCGGAAUUACUGGGCGUAAAGCGCGCGUAGGCGGUCUGAUAAGCCGGUUGUGAAAGCCCCGGGCUCAACCUGGGAACGGCAUCCGGAACUGUCAGGCUAGAGUGCAGGAGAGGAAGGUAGAAUUCCCGGUGUAGCGGUGAAAUGCGUAGAGAUCGGGAGGAAUACCAGUGGCGAAGGCGGCCUUCUGGACUGACACUGACGCUGAGGUGCGAAAGCGUGGGUAGCAAACAGGAUUAGAUACCCGGGUAGUC
Molecule: ribosomal RNA, 465 nt
Filed under: Vreelandella stevensii
Lineage: Bacteria; Pseudomonadati; Pseudomonadota; Gammaproteobacteria; Oceanospirillales; Halomonadaceae
Description: partial 16S ribosomal RNA
Rfam family: Bacterial small subunit ribosomal RNA
Source: RNAcentral